Molecule: non-coding RNA, 74 nt
Organism: Desmophyllum pertusum
Lineage: Eukaryota; Metazoa; Cnidaria; Anthozoa; Scleractinia; Caryophylliidae
Source: the annotation of a GenBank genome assembly
GUCCGUUGCUCGGUGGUGAGAGCGUCCGACCGGUUGUAUGGGAAAGUCAUGGGUUCGAUUCCCGUCGGGACUCA